RNAcentral lists this ribosomal RNA (353 nucleotides) under Vibrio parahaemolyticus. RNAcentral describes it as "bacterial LSU rRNA". It matches the Rfam family "Bacterial large subunit ribosomal RNA", at positions 2591 to 2925 of the family's 2925-position model. The record is from RNAcentral. Lineage: Bacteria; Pseudomonadati; Pseudomonadota; Gammaproteobacteria; Vibrionales; Vibrionaceae.
AAGUGGUACGCGAGCUGCGUUUACAAUGUCGUGAGGCAGUUCUGUCCUUAUCUGCCGUGGGCGUUUGAAGAAUGAAGGGGGCUGCUCCUAGUCCUUGAGGUCCUGAGUGGACGAACCUCUGGUGUGCGGGUUGUGUCGCCAGACGCAUUGCCCGGUAGCUAAGUUCGGAAUCGAUAUCCGCUGAAAGCUUCUAAGCGGGAAGCGAGUCCUGAGAUGAGGCUUCCCUGAUUCUUUAAGUAUCCUAACGGGUUGGAGGAGACUACGACUUUGAUAGGUCAGGGGUGUAAGUAGUUUGAUGUAAGGGCCAAACUGAUACUAAUCUCCCGUGAGGCUUAUCCAUGUUACUCUCAAGG